Long non-coding RNA from Cyprinodon variegatus (sheepshead minnow), 249 nucleotides. RefSeq lists it as uncharacterized. The record is from RefSeq and is a predicted model, not a curated record. NCBI's taxonomy places the organism in Eukaryota, Metazoa, Chordata, Actinopteri, Cyprinodontiformes, Cyprinodontidae. The transcript has 3 exons.
GGUAACAGAGAAGGCUGCUGUUUAUUCUGCUGCUGAUCAACUGAUCUGAACAGAUCAACUUGUUUGAAAGCUAAACAGUUUUUUGCUUACUGAAGAAAUUCUGGGUCUGAAUCUGAUGGCAGCUCUGUCUGAGAACCUGCUGACAGUCAACAUGUUACUGAGUGUCUUCUUUCUUCCAGCUACUUUGGCUGAUUGUGGUGGUAGAAAACCAGCCCUCAAUAUCACUACACCAAAGAAGAUUGAAGCUCU